GUGGUGGCUCAGUAGUAGAGCGCUCGCCGAGCAUGCAGGAGGCACUGGGUUCAAUCCUCAGCACCACA
RNAcentral lists this transfer RNA (68 nucleotides) under Marmota monax (woodchuck). RNAcentral's name for it is "tRNA.Ala". Lineage: Eukaryota; Metazoa; Chordata; Mammalia; Rodentia; Sciuridae. The record is from RNAcentral.